Molecule: ribosomal RNA, 468 nt
Filed under: uncultured bacterium
Lineage: Bacteria
Description: partial 16S ribosomal RNA
Rfam family: Bacterial small subunit ribosomal RNA
Source: RNAcentral
GACGAACGCUGGCGGCGUGCUUAACACAUGCAAGUCGAACGGAAAGGCCCUGCUUUUGUGGGGUGCUCGCGUGGCGAACGGGUGAGUAACACGUGAGUAACCUGCCCUUGACUUUGGGAUAACUUCAGGAAACUGGGGCUAAUACCGGCUAGGAGCUCCUGCUGCAUGGUGGGGGUUGGAAAGUUUCGGCGGUUGGGGAUGGACUCGCGGCUUAUCAGCUUGUUGGUGGGGUAGUGGCUUACCAAGGCUUUGACGGGUAGCCGGCCUGAGAGGGUGACCGGCCACAUUGGGACUGAGAUACGGCCCAGACUCCUACGGGAGGCAGCAGUGGGGAAUAUUGCACAAUGGGCGGAAGCCUGAUGCAGCAACGCCGCGUGCGGGAUGACGGCCUUCGGGUUGUAAACCGCUUUCGCCUGUGACGAAGCGUGAGUGACGGUAAUGGGUAAAGAAGCACCGGCUAACUACGUG